UGCAAGUCGAACGGUAACAGGUCUUCGGAUGCUGACGAGUGGCGAACGGGUGAGUAAUGCAUCGGAACGUGCCCAGUCGUGGGGGAUAACGCAGCGAAAGCUGUGCUAAUACCGCAUACGAUCUAUGGAUGAAAGCGGGGGACCUUAGGGCCUCGCGCGAUUGGAGCGGCCGAUGUCAGAUUAGCUAGUUGGUGGGGUAAAGGCCCACCAAGGCGACGAUCUGUAGCUGGUCUGAGAGGACGACCAGCCACACUGGGACUGAGACACGGCCCAGACUCCUACGGGAGGCAGCAGUGGGGAAUUUUGGACAAUGGGCGCAAGCCUGAUCCAGCAAUGCCGCGUGCAGGAAGAAGGCCUUCGGGUUGUAAACUGCUUUUGUACGGAACGAAAAGGCUCUGGUUAAUACCUGGGGCUCAGGACGGUACCGUAAGAAUAAGCACCGGCUAACUACGUGCCAGCAGCCGCGGUAAUACGUAGGGUGCAAGCGUUAAUCGGAAUUACUGGGCGUAAAGCGUGCGCAGGCGGUUUUGUAAGACAGGCGUGAAAUCCCCGGGCUCAACCUGGGAAUGGCGCUUGUGACUGCAAAGCUGGAGUGCGGCAGAGGGGGAUGGAAUUCCGCGUGUAGCAGUGAAAUGCGUAGAUAUGCGGAGGAACACCAAUGGCGAAGGCAAUCCCCUGGGCCUGCACUGACGCUCAUGCA
RNAcentral lists this ribosomal RNA (700 nucleotides) under uncultured bacterium. RNAcentral describes it as "bacterial SSU rRNA". It matches the Rfam family "Bacterial small subunit ribosomal RNA", at positions 56 to 753 of the family's 1533-position model. The record is from RNAcentral.